AAAUUGAAGAGUUUGAUCAUGGCUCAGAUUGAACGCUGGCGGCAGGCCUAACACAUGCAAGUCGAACGGUAACAGGAAGCAGCUUGCUGCUUUGCUGACGAGUGGCGGACGGGUGAGUAAUGUCUGGGAAACUGCCUGAUGGAGGGGGAUAACUACUGGAAACGGUAGCUAAUACCGCAUAAUGUCGCAGGACCAAAGAGGGGGACCUUCGGGCCUCUUGCCAUCAGAUGUGCCCAG
This 237-nucleotide ribosomal RNA is filed under the name Salmonella enterica. Its description in RNAcentral is "partial 16S ribosomal RNA". It matches the Rfam family "Bacterial small subunit ribosomal RNA", at positions 1 to 234 of the family's 1533-position model. The record is from RNAcentral. Lineage: Bacteria; Pseudomonadati; Pseudomonadota; Gammaproteobacteria; Enterobacterales; Enterobacteriaceae.